Molecule: transfer RNA, 95 nt
Filed under: Armillaria gallica
Lineage: Eukaryota; Fungi; Basidiomycota; Agaricomycetes; Agaricales; Physalacriaceae
Also listed under: 1 other name
Rfam family: tRNA
About the family: Transfer RNA (tRNA) molecules are approximately 80 nucleotides in length.
Source: Rfam by way of RNAcentral
GGCACUAUAGCCAAGUGGUUACGGCGACAGAUUCGAAUGCUCAAAGAGUUAUCUGUUCCUCUCUGAGGGCGCAGGUUCAAAUCCUGCUGGUGUCG